UGGGCUUUUGUUUUAUUUUAUCUUGGGCUGAAGUUAAAUUAAUUAGAAUGGGCUGGAGAUUUAUUCAUUGGGCCAUGCAUUAUUUAAUUGAGUCCAAUCGUUUAUUCAGUAAUUGGGCCGAUUUUAUUCACUGUUCGGGCCUCGUAUUUUAUUCCGUUGGGCCGCCUCAUAUAUGUUCUAUAGGCCGUCCAGAUUUAUUUAUUCAUUUGAGCCAAUUAUUUAAUUCACACAUU
This 233-nucleotide long non-coding RNA is filed under the name Salvia miltiorrhiza (redroot sage). RNAcentral describes it as "long non-coding RNA (SMIL_LNC013618)". Lineage: Eukaryota; Viridiplantae; Streptophyta; Magnoliopsida; Lamiales; Lamiaceae. The record is from RNAcentral.